UGGAAUAACCUGGAAAUUCCUGCCUCUGAU
This 30-nucleotide non-coding RNA is filed under the name Mus musculus (house mouse). Lineage: Eukaryota; Metazoa; Chordata; Mammalia; Rodentia; Muridae. The record is from RNAcentral.